This is a long non-coding RNA of Trifolium pratense (red clover), 293 nucleotides long. RefSeq lists it as uncharacterized. Lineage: Eukaryota; Viridiplantae; Streptophyta; Magnoliopsida; Fabales; Fabaceae. The record is from RefSeq and is a predicted model, not a curated record. The transcript has 3 exons.
UUCUUCCUCUUCCUCCAUCGCGUGAACUAUUCUCACAAAAAACCCUAAUCCCUUUUCAUCGAUUUACUCGGGUUUGUAAUCAAAACAAAGAUUGAAGCUCUCAACUGGUUGUGAUUGAAGCUCUCAGUUGGUUGUGAUUGAAGGGUAGCAGUACUCACAGGACAGUGUUUCUCAAGCAGUUUUCAUCUAGACGGCUUCUAACUGAACAAAUGAAAAAGGAAGCAAACAACAAGACAAAUAUGAAAUCUCAUGUCAAGAAUCAAAGGGGUGCUUCCAGUUUGGAGCUUCCACAG